Molecule: ribosomal RNA, 273 nt
Filed under: uncultured bacterium
Lineage: Bacteria
Description: partial 16S ribosomal RNA
Rfam family: Bacterial small subunit ribosomal RNA
Source: RNAcentral
UACAUGUGGGGCAAGCGUUGUUCGGAAUUACUGGGCAUAAAGGGUGCGUAGGCGGCUUGUUAAGUCACUGGUGAAAGUUUUCGGCCCAACCGGAAAAUGGCCUGUGAUACUGGCGAGCUCGAGUGCGUGAGGGGUGGGGGGAACGAGCAGUGUAGCGGUGAAAUGCGUAGAUAUUGCUCGGAAGGCCGGAGCCGAAGGGGCCCCACUGGUACGCAACUGACGCUGAGGCACGAAAGCGUGGGGAGCAAACAGGAUUAGAAACCCUUGUAGUCC